This 1849-nucleotide ribosomal RNA is filed under the name Escherichia coli. RNAcentral describes it as "partial 23S ribosomal RNA". It matches the Rfam family "Bacterial large subunit ribosomal RNA", at positions 1 to 1875 of the family's 2925-position model. Lineage: Bacteria; Pseudomonadati; Pseudomonadota; Gammaproteobacteria; Enterobacterales; Enterobacteriaceae. The record is from RNAcentral.
GAGGUUAAGCGACUAAGCGUACACGGUGGAUGCCCUGGCAGUCAGAGGCGAUGAAGGACGUGCUAAUCUGCGAUAAGCGUCGGUGAGGUGAUAUGAACCGUUAUAACCGGCGAUUUCCGAAUGGGGAAACCCAGUGUGUUUCGACACACUAUCAUUAACUGAAUCCAUAGGUUAAUGAGGCGAACCGGGGGAACUGAAACAUCUAAGUACCCCGAGGAAAAGAAAUCAACCGAGAUUCCCCCAGUAGCGGCGAGCGAACGGGGAGGAGCCCAGAGCCUGAAUCAGUGUGUGUGUUAGUGGAAGCGUCUGGAAAGGCGUGCGAUACAGGGUGACAGCCCCGUACACAAAAAUGCACAUAUUGUGAGCUCGAUGAGUAGGGCGGGACACGUGGUAUCCUGUCUGAAUAUGGGGGGACCAUCCUCCAAGGCUAAAUACUCCUGACUGACCGAUAGUGAACCAGUACCGUGAGGGAAAGGCGAAAAGAACCCCGGCGAGGGGAGUGAAAAAGAACCUGAAACCGUGUACGUACAAGCAGUGGGAGCCUCUUAAUGGGGUGACUGCGUACCUUUUGUAUAAUGGGUCAGCGACUUAUAUUCUGUAGCAAGGUUAACCGAAUAGGGGAGCCGAAGGGAAACCGAGUCUUAACUGGGCGUUAAGUUGCAGGGUAUAGACCCGAAACCCGGUGAUCUAGCCAUGGGCAGGUUGAAGGUUGGGUAACACUAACUGGAGGACCGAACCGACUAAUGUUGAAAAAUUAGCGGAUGACUUGUGGCUGGGGGUGAAAGGCCAAUCAAACCGGGAGAUAGCUGGUUCUCCCCGAAAGCUAUUUAGGUAGCGCCUCGUGAAUUCAUCUCCGGGGGUAGAGCACUGUUUCGGCAAGGGGGUCAUCCCGACUUACCAACCCGAUGCAAACUGCGAAUACCGGAGAAUGUUAUCACGGGAGACACACGGCGGGUGCUAACGUCCGUCGUGAAGAGGGAAACAACCCAGACCGCCAGCUAAGGUCCCAAAGUCAUGGUUAAGUGGGAAACGAUGUGGGAAGGCCCAGACAGCCAGGAUGUUGGCUUAGAAGCAGCCAUCAUUUAAAGAAAGCGUAAUAGCUCACUGGUCGAGUCGGCCUGCGCGGAAGAUGUAACGGGGCUAAACCAUGCACCGAAGCUGCGGCAGCGACACUAUGUGUUGUUGGGUAGGGGAGCGUUCUGUAAGCCUGUGAAGGUGGCCUGUGAGGGUUGCUGGAGGUAUCAGAAGUGCGAAUGCUGACAUAAGUAACGAUAAAGCGGGUGAAAAGCCCGCUCGCCGGAAGACCAAGGGUUCCUGUCCAACGUUAAUCGGGGCAGGGUGAGUCGACCCCUAAGGCGAGGCCGAAAGGCGUAGUCGAUGGGAAACAGGUUAAUAUUCCUGUACUUGGUGUUACUGCGAAGGGGGGACGGAGAAGGCUAUGUUGGCCGGGCGACGGUUGUCCCGGUUUAAGCGUGUAGGCUGGUUUUCCAGGCAAAUCCGGAAAACCAAGGCUGAGGCGUGAUGACGAGGCACUACGGUGCUGAAGCGACAAAUGCCCUGCUUCCAGGAAAAGCCUCUAAGCAUCAGGUAACAUCAAAUCGUACCCCAAACCGACACAGGUGGUCAGGUAGAGAAUACCAAGGCGCUUGAGAGAACUCGGGUGAAGGAACUAGGCAAAAUGGUGCCGUAACUUCGGGAGAAGGCACGCUGAUAUGUAGGUGAAGCGACUUGCUCGUGGAGCUGAAAUCAGUCGAAGAUACCAGCUGGCUGCAACUGUUUAUUAAAAACACAGCACUGUGCAAACACGAAAGUGGACGUAUACGGUGUGACGCCUGCCCGGUGCCGGAAG